GACGAACGCUGGCGGCGUGCCUAAUACAUGCAAGUAGAACGCUGAAGGAGGAGCUUGCUUCUCUGGAUGAGUUGCGAACGGGUGAGUAACGCGUAGGUAACCUGCCUGGUAGCGGGGGAUAACUAUUGGAAACGAUAGCUAAUACCGCAUAAGAGUAGAUGUUGCAUGACAUUUGCUUAAAAGGUGCAAUUGCAUCACUACCAGAUGGACCUGCGUUGUAUUAGCUAGUUGGUGGGGUAACGGCUCACCAAGGCGACGAUACAUAGCCGACCUGAGAGGGGGAUCGGCCACACUGGGACUGAGACACGGCCCAGACUCCUACGGGAGGCAGCAGUAGGGAAUCUUCGGCAAUGGACGGAAGGCUGACCGAGCAACGCCGCGUGAGUGAAGAAGGUUUUCGGAUCGUAAAGCUCUGUUGUAAGAGAAGAAAGAGUGUGAGAGUGGAAAGUUCACACUGUGACGGUAUCUUACCAGAAAGGGACGGCUAACUACGUG
RNAcentral lists this ribosomal RNA (495 nucleotides) under uncultured bacterium. RNAcentral describes it as "partial 16S ribosomal RNA". It matches the Rfam family "Bacterial small subunit ribosomal RNA", at positions 28 to 507 of the family's 1533-position model. The record is from RNAcentral.